UACAGCGCCAUCGGCCCCUCCGCCUUCACCGUCUUCACUGCGCAAUCCAACGCCCCUGCAUACGGUGCCGCCUCCCCUGCCUCCACCUUCAUGUUCAUCACUCUUGUCUUUAUCACGUCUACCGGGUUUGAUGCCACCGCCGCCACGAACCCUGCCGCGAAACUCGCUGUCACGUGGGUGCCAAGCCCAUCGCUCAUCAACCUUUUUUCCAAAAUCAUUUCCUUGAAUUGGUCGUACGAUGCUAGCUGAGAAGCUGUCACCAGCAUGGCACGGUUCACCGUCAGCGAUGAGCCGCGCCACAGGCUUGUAAUGCCUUCUUGCCUUGCCAUGCGAGUGAUUGCGUCUA
RNAcentral lists this unclassified non-coding RNA (346 nucleotides) under Hevea brasiliensis (rubber tree). The record is from RNAcentral. Lineage: Eukaryota; Viridiplantae; Streptophyta; Magnoliopsida; Malpighiales; Euphorbiaceae.